This 2679-nucleotide long non-coding RNA is filed under the name Sus scrofa (pig). Its description in RNAcentral is "lncRNA (ENSSSCG00030047335.1)". Lineage: Eukaryota; Metazoa; Chordata; Mammalia; Artiodactyla; Suidae. The record is from RNAcentral.
GGGACCCUGGGGUUUUCUGUCCUCGUGCUCAGGAUCUCACAGAUCUGAGCUGUGGACUGUGCCUUUUCCCCACCUUGGCUUCAUGGACGCUUACUUGACAUGUGGAGGGAUUAGAGAGGGUGCCGUUCACGUGUAGGGCAGACACCAGCUCAUCAAGCUUGCCAAGCACCCCAAGCUCUGUGAAGAUUAAUUUCAGGCUCUGCCUUUCACGUGCUGUCAUCCAGCAGACAUCUCUGUGGCCCUGAGAAGUUAACAAACAAUUAAAGCCAACCUGUCCUCUGCUUGGGGGCCACUGCAGCGGGAGGCCUGCUCCCCAGCACGCGGACACACUUCACAGAAUGAGCCCAGGAAACAGCGAAGGACCAAAGGUGGCCGCUGGUCACUCCAGGUCUACAACUUGCUGGACUCAAGCACAGGGACAAAGAGGAAGGUGGCCUCUCUCUGGACAGCAGCAGCUGAAGCUCUCUGGGGCCAGUAUCCCAUGCUUUCUCAUCCUGAGUCUCCUCAGAGUGCAUGGGGAGGAGGUGGAUGCAGCAGCUGGAAUUAUUUCCAUCCUGAGUUCCCUUGGGGUUCACUGUCCAUCCAGGUAGGGAUAAUGUGAUGGCUUGUUGGCUGCAACAUCCUAUGUUUACUGACAUGGAGGGCAGUAGUUUUGAUUCACAGGCAGUUGUAGGACUUCUUGUCAGCUCAACUCUGUCUCCAGCUAAAUUCCGUUUUUGGAAGAUAAGAGAAAGUGCUGGUGUCCAUAGCGCUGAGUCACAUCAGGCAGAAAGUCCACCAGCUGCUCUCUGAUCUCAAGAGCAGAAUCGUACAAACAUAGAGCAUGACAGUGGGUCCGUGUUUGGGGACUGGCCUGGUGGAGGGUGGUUUGUGCAGGCCUUGUGAGCAUCUGCUGUCUCAAUUUCUGGCCCACAGUCCGUUCCUGUUGUGCUGCUGCUCGGACAGUUGGGAGUUCCUGAGACGUUCUCAGACUUCAUCCAGAGAGUUAUGCAUGUUAAUGGCUAAGACAGAUGCUUUAUGCCUUGCCUGGUUAUUAUGGGUGUUAUGCCCUGAAGAAGAAAAAUGUUCAGGACUCAUUCCAUAACACUUAGGUUACUCCAGUUAAGCUCUGAUGGGAAUGGCCAGCAGCCAAAUGGCAGACUCUGUCCUUGGCAUCCACUUAGUCAGCCCUCUCUCCUCUUAGCAUGAUUUUUUCUUUCUCAACUGAAACCCAUCAUCCAGCUUCAUGGGAGGUUACCAGUGCCUUCCUGCUGACCCUGGCCAUCAAGGAAGCUCUCCAUAAGGUCCCAGACAAGACCGCUACCACCAAGUGUUGUAGCCUAUGACAUAAAUGACAGCUGUAGCUAUGUUUGUUUUGUCUUGCAUAGGGUUUUGAACAAAAAUCAAUGGCUUGCGGCAUUUCAGAGAUUUCAUAUAUCUAAAUUCUUGGUUUCUCUGGGAAAAAAAAAAUCCCAGAAAGAGUUGGCAAUACUGGGUUAACAUUUUCACAUGCACAGCCAUUGCCUGGAGCUGAGUAGUAGCAGCCCCUUUCAGAUGGGCUGUUGCUGUUCAGUUUGCCAUGGACCCCACUACUCCCUAUUGCCUCCCUCUCUCACAUACGUCAGAUUUAGUGUCAGGCAACUGGCUCUUUUUAUUCACUCACAUUACCUUCCUGGUAGGUACCUGUUCUCAGUCUCUGCUUUAGACCUUCCAAGCUUCCAGUGGAGCCAACCAUUUGAUUAGAGGGUUGGAACUUUCAGUUCAGCAAUCUUGAGAAAGAAGAACAAAGCUGGAGGCAUCACCCUCCAUGGUUUCAAACUAUAUUACAAAGCUACAGCAAUCAAAACAGAUGAGGAUGGCAUAAAACCAGACACAUACACAGCAGAAUUGAGAGCUCAGAAGUAAACCCAUGCAUAUAUGGUCAAUUAAUUAUGACAAAGGAAUCUUGUCUUUUAAGACAACAUGGAUGGCCCUUGAUGGCGUUAGCUUAGUGAAAUAAAUCAGACAGAGAAAGAGAAAUACUGUAUGAGCUGAUAUAUGGUAUCAAAAAAAUAAACAAACAAAAAACUCAUGGAUACAGAGAAUAGAUUGGUCAUUACCAGAAGCAGAGGGUGAGAGCUAAACCAAAUGGGUGAAGAUGGUCAAAAGGUACAAACUUCUAGUUAUAAAGAAGUCAUGGGUCCUGGGCAUCUAUCCAGAGAAAACCAUGCCUCGAAAAGACACAUGUUCUCCAAUGUUUAUUGCAGCACUACUGACAGAGGAAUAGAUAAAGAAGAUGUGCUACAUAUACNUAUGUCCACUGACAGAGGAAUAGAUAAAGAAGAUGUGCUACAUAUACACAGUGGAAUAUUCCUCAGCCAUUAAAAGGAAAGAAAUAACAGCAUUUGCAGCAACAUGGAUGGACCUAGAAAUUAUCAUGCUAAGUGAAGUCAGUCAGACAAUGAGACACCAACAUCAAAUGCUAUCACUUAACAUGCGGAAUCUGAAAAAAGGACACAAUGAACUUCUUUGCAGAACAGCUACUGACUCAGAGACUCUGAAAAACGUAUGGUUUCCAAAUGAGACAGGUUGGGGGGUGGGGGGAUGUGCUGGGGGUUUGGGAUGGAAAUACUAUAAAAUUGGGUUGUGAUGAUCAUUGUACAGCUAUAAAUGUAAUAAAUUAAUUGAGUAAUAUAAAAAAUAAAGAGAAAAAAUAAAAAA